Small nuclear RNA from Capra hircus (goat), 107 nucleotides. NCBI's taxonomy places the organism in Eukaryota, Metazoa, Chordata, Mammalia, Artiodactyla, Bovidae. The record is from Ensembl.
GUCCUAGCUUCAGCAACACACGUACUAAAAUCGAAACAAUACGGAGAAGAUGAGCAUGGCCCCUGCGCAAGGAUGACACGCAAACUGGCGAAGUGCUCCAUAGCUUA